AGCCUUUCGUGAGGUGACUAGAGUGUGAAUGACCAUUUGAAGAGUCUUUCGAUCCAGAAUAGGAAAGUUAACUAAGGGAAGGCAAAUGUCAAGAACUAUGUUUUGUCUUGUUAUGUUUGCCACUGGACAAAAUCUGUUCCAGAUGGCUUGCUGCAGCAGCUGAAUUCCCCUUUGCAACUUUCAGACACAGUGCCAAUGGAUUUUAUUACUGCUCUAUCUCUGAAAAAGAAGUGACUUAUAGUUUCUAUCCAAAUGAAACUCUUGCAUCUGACGUUUUUCAUAAUCCAGACUUCUUGUGGGAGAGGCAAACUAUACAGCAUCUCUUAAAGAACAGCUAGAUUUCGUAAAGGUUACAUACAGAAUUAGAUAGCUCUCCCAGAAAUGGAAGAAGCACUGGAGAAGACAAAAGUGGAUUGCUAGAUUAAUGUCAUGGUUAAAAAUGGAAAUGGCUUGGAAAAUGUUGCAACUGAAUCUUGAGGUAAAGCCUUUGGAAAGCCUUGAGCAUGAUAAUAAAAUUAAGGGACAUAUUCAUGCACAAUACCAUCCACCUUUAGGAAGAAAGUGAGAUAUAAACCAUAUUUCAGAGACAUUGAAGAAUUUCUGAACAGCAAAUUGUCUAUCUUGUUAGGCUGACAUAUACAGAAGAGGAAAAACAAUCAGGAACAUCUUACUUUUCUGAAGCUGUAAUAUAAACCCCAGGUUUUCCUACUCAAAUUAUUCAAUUUCCUGAAGCAUGGCCAAAUUUUGUCAUGAAAUAGAUACAGUUCCACCUAAUCUGAAAUUUGGAGAAGAAAAUAUUCUCAAAACCAGUAGCACAUCAGUCAACAUAUGAAGAAAUAAAUAUGUUAAUAUUAACAACAAAAACAAUCUUUGCCAUUAACAGCUAGGAUGAAACUUGGCUGGCCAAGGAAUUAUGCAUAGCAGCAAAAGCGUACAACAUCUUGAAGAAAAUAAGUGAGGCUUAUAUGUUACCAGAUGUAGUGGGUGUUUUUUCACAGAAAAGUUUAAUGAGGAUCUUACUACAAUUAGGUUUGAAAAGUUGAAUAUAUAUAUUUGCUGAAUUGCUUAUUUGCAUAUUACAAAUGUUUCUUUACCAUUUUCUUUUUGACAUGUGCAAGCAGCAGAUGUUAAUAAAUAGUACAAGCAGCUUGA
Molecule: non-coding RNA, 1152 nt
Organism: Pantherophis guttatus
Lineage: Eukaryota; Metazoa; Chordata; Lepidosauria; Squamata; Colubridae
Source: RefSeq, a predicted model, not a curated record